RNAcentral lists this ribosomal RNA (253 nucleotides) under uncultured bacterium. RNAcentral describes it as "partial 16S ribosomal RNA". It matches the Rfam family "Bacterial small subunit ribosomal RNA", at positions 524 to 776 of the family's 1533-position model. The record is from RNAcentral.
UACGAAGGGGGCUAGCGUUGUUCGGAAUUACUGGGCGUAAAGCGCGCGUAGGCGGACUCUUAAGUCGGGGGUGAAAGCCCGGGGCUCAACCUCGGAACUGCCUUUGAUACUGUGAGUCUCGAGACCGGAAGAGGUGAGUGGAAUUCCUAGUGUAGAGGUGAAAUUCGUAGAUAUUAGGAAGAACACCAGUGGCGAAGGCGGCUCACUGGUCCGGUUCUGACGCUGAGGUGCGAAAGCGUGGGGAGCAAACAGG